This 403-nucleotide ribosomal RNA is filed under the name Fusobacteriota bacterium. Its description in RNAcentral is "Fusobacteria bacterium partial 16S ribosomal RNA". It matches the Rfam family "Bacterial small subunit ribosomal RNA", at positions 355 to 776 of the family's 1533-position model. The record is from RNAcentral. Lineage: Bacteria; Fusobacteriati; Fusobacteriota.
UGGGGAAUCUUGCACAAUGGGGGAAACCCUGAUGCAGCGACGCCGCGUGAGCGAUGAAGGUUUUCGAAUCGUAAAGCUCUGUCCUAUGGGAAGAUAAUGACGGUACCAUGGGAGGAAGCCCCGGCUAACUACGUGCCAGCAGCCGCGGUAAUACGUAGGGGGCGAGCGUGGUCCGGAAUUACUGGGCGUAAAGGGUUCGCAGGCGGCAUGGCAAGUCCGAUGUAAAAGGCGAAGGCUCAACCUUCGUAAGCAUCGGAAACUGUCAAGCUUGAGUGAAGGAGAGGCAAGUGGAAUUCCGAGUGUCGCGGUGGAAUGCGUAGAUAUUAGGAGGAAUACCGGUGGCGAAUGCGACUUGCUGGACUUCAACUGACGCUGAGGAACGAAAGCGUGGGUAGCAAACAGG